This 77-nucleotide transfer RNA is filed under the name Paracoccaceae bacterium. Its description in RNAcentral is "Rhodobacteraceae bacterium (subsurface metagenome) tRNA-Arg". The record is from RNAcentral. Lineage: Bacteria; Pseudomonadati; Pseudomonadota; Alphaproteobacteria; Rhodobacterales; Paracoccaceae.
CGGUGAGGUAGCUCAGCAGGAGAGAGCGGCCAGUCUACGGGACUGGAGUGUCGAUGGUUCGAGGCCUUCUCCACCGA